This is a non-coding RNA of Rattus norvegicus (Norway rat), 567 nucleotides long. The record is from RefSeq and is a predicted model, not a curated record. NCBI's taxonomy places the organism in Eukaryota, Metazoa, Chordata, Mammalia, Rodentia, Muridae.
CUCUCCCCAUUGCCGCCCUCCCCCCCACAGUCUAGUUCACUGGGGGUUCAGUCUUAGCAGGACCCAGGGCUUCCCCUUCCACUGGUGAUCUUACUAGGAUAUUCAUUACUACCUAUGAGAUCAGAGUCCAGGUCAAGUGUGUGUCUUGAAGAUAUGACUCACUGCUGAGAAGAUGUAGGAGGUGAAACAGCUGCUGCCCAGAGUCUUUGUUCACAGGUACACAAAGCUAAAACACAGGAUUUGGAAGCCUCAUCUACAUCUCCAGAAUUUAAGUUUGCCCAAGAGCGACCAUUCUCCCAGGCAUGAUGAUAAUAGAUUAAACCUCUGAAAGGUUUUUCAGGAGCUUUUGAUGUCUACCACCCACUGGUCUAAGGCUUGGAGAUGGUUACUGAGGAUCUUGGACAAGUCUGGGAGCACUUUGGGAAUGGAAAACCAUAAUCAGAUGAUAAAUUACAUGAAAAAUUUAUUGAAAAACAUAAGACAGAAGAGGAUUCACUCUUUGGAUGGACUCAAAAUUAAUUUUAGCACAUUUCUUGUAUUCUCUAUCAAAUCAUGAUUAAAGAACAA